UGGGGAAUCUUGCGCAAUGGGCGAAAGCCUGACGCAGCCAUGCCGCGUGAGUGAUGAAGGCCUUAGGGUUGUAAAGCUCUUUCACCGGGGGACGAUAAUGACGGUACCCGGAGAAGAAGCCCCGGCUAACUUCGUGCCAGCAGCCGCGGUAAUACGAAGGGGGCUAGCGUUGCUCGGAAUUACUGGGCGUAAAGGGCGCGUAGGCGGAUCAGCAAGUUGGGGGUGAAAGCCCGGGGCUCAACCUCGGAAUUGCCUUCAAAACUGCUGAUCUAGAGUACGGGAGAGGUGUGUGGAACUCCGAGUGUGGAGGUGAAAUUCGUAGAUAUUCGGAAGAACACCAGAGGCGAAGGCGACACACUGGCCCGUUACUGACGCUGAGGCGCGAAAGCGUGGGGAGCAAACAGGAUUGAUACCCUGGUAGUCACGCUGUAAACGAUGAUUGCUAGUUGUCGGCAGGCAUGCCUGUCGGUGACGCAGCUAACGCAUUAAGCAAUCGCCUGGGAGUACGGUCGCAAGAUUAAAACUU
Molecule: ribosomal RNA, 526 nt
Filed under: uncultured bacterium
Lineage: Bacteria
Description: partial 16S ribosomal RNA
Rfam family: Bacterial small subunit ribosomal RNA
Source: RNAcentral